RNAcentral lists this ribosomal RNA (496 nucleotides) under uncultured bacterium. Its description in RNAcentral is "partial 16S ribosomal RNA". It matches the Rfam family "Bacterial small subunit ribosomal RNA", at positions 29 to 507 of the family's 1533-position model. The record is from RNAcentral.
AUGCACGCUGGCGGCGUGCCUAAUACCUGCAAGUCGCGCGAACGGACGAGAAGCUUGCUUCUCUGAUGUUAGCGGCGGACGGGUGAGUAACACGUGGAUAACCUACCUAUAAGACUGGGAUAACUUCGGGAAACCGGAGCUAAUACCGGAUGAUAUUUUGAACCGCAUGGUUCAAAAGUGAAAGACGGUCUUGCUGUCACUUAUAGAUGGAUCCGCGCUGCAUUAGCUAGUUGGUAAGGUAACGGCUUACCAAGGAAACGAUGCAUAGCCGACCUGAGAGGGUGAUCGGCCACACUGGAACUGAGACACGGUCCAGACUCCUACGGGAGGCAGCAGUAGGGAAUCUUCCGCAAUGGGCGAAAGCCUGACGGAGCAACGCCGCGUGAGUGAUGAAGGUCUUCGGAUCGUAAAACUCUGUUAUUAGGGAAGAACAUAUGUGUAAGUAACUGUGCACAUCUUGACGGUACCUAAUCAGAAAGCCACGGCUAACUACGUG